This is a long non-coding RNA of Vidua chalybeata, 983 nucleotides long. RefSeq lists it as uncharacterized. The record is from RefSeq and is a predicted model, not a curated record. NCBI's taxonomy places the organism in Eukaryota, Metazoa, Chordata, Aves, Passeriformes, Viduidae. The transcript has 3 exons.
GCUGGCUGGCCACAUGGACAGAGGAUGAGAGGCCUGUGCUGUGCAGGACCAUCCCGGGAGGCAGGUGGGAGAAGGAGAGCCAAACUCCUCCAAAAGCAGGGAUUUCUUGGAACAGCUUUUAAGCCAGGCUCAUCUGGUUUGCCUUGGCUGUGCACAGGAAAGGCCCCUGGUCCCUGAUGUCUCCCUGCUGUGGAGGGACAGGAAUGCAGCACCCAGCUCCCUCCUGCACUAAUGAGGUUCAUUAAGACUGAACAGCUAAUUUUGACACAACUCUGUUCCAACAGAUGCCAUGGCAGAGACUCUGCCUGCCCUAAACCCUGAGCUGUGAAUGCAGGCCCAGGGCUGUCCUACCCUGUUGGUGCCUGCAGGAAAAACCCCAAACUGCACAGACACAGCCACGCUGUCACAGUCACACUGUCACAGUCACACUGUCACAGUCACACUGUCACGGCCACUGCUGGCCAAACAAUUACAGGUUUCUGAGCUCAUCCACACCAUAAAUCAAAUCAAGUCUCUAAAACAGCAGGAAACCUUCAGGGAAACAUGGGAAGAAAGCAUCUUUGAAAGCUCAAAUGGUGACUCACUCGAGGAGUGCAAGGACUGUGACAAUUAACAAGGAGCAACAGAGAUAAACUGGAGCUGGCUGCUUCCAUCCCCUUCAAAUAACUUCAACCCCCCCAGACCUGCUGCCCCUUAUCUGCAGCACAGUCCCUGCAGAUGAGGCUGUCUCCACAAGAAGGAUAAGGAUGUACAGGAGCUCCUUCUUCACCCACACAGACUCCUACCACCUCUCCUUGACUUGGUGCAUGUCCCAGUGAGCCAUGGGCAGAUGAUCCUGGAAAAUCGACCCAUCCACCUGGACCUCACUUCAGCUUGUGUUCUUUAUUUCAAAGAAGGUCAAUAUAAAGUAACUCAGAGCAUGUCCCACUCCUUUUGGAUCUCCUUCCUGAGCUGAGAAGUCCCAGCAAGCUCUACCAAAGCUG